GCCCCUGUAGUUUAAUGGAUAAAAUACAGGAUUCCGGUUCCUGUGCUAUGAGUUCGAUUCUCAUCGGGGGUA
This 72-nucleotide transfer RNA is filed under the name Candidatus Avirikenella pullistercoris. RNAcentral's name for it is "tRNA-Arg". It matches the Rfam family "tRNA". From Rfam's summary of the family: Transfer RNA (tRNA) molecules are approximately 80 nucleotides in length. The record is from RNAcentral. Lineage: Bacteria; Pseudomonadati; Bacteroidota; Bacteroidia; Bacteroidales; Rikenellaceae.